RNAcentral lists this microRNA precursor (195 nucleotides) under Oryza brachyantha (malo sina). RNAcentral describes it as "MIR812 microRNA precursor family". It matches the Rfam family "MIR812 microRNA precursor family". Lineage: Eukaryota; Viridiplantae; Streptophyta; Magnoliopsida; Poales; Poaceae. The record is from Rfam by way of RNAcentral.
AAUAAAUAAAUUUAUGAGUUUUUGGAUAGGAUUUUUGACUAUUCGUCUUAUUUGAAAUUUUUUAUGAUUAAUAUUUUUAUUGUUAUUACAUGAUAAAACAUGAAUAGUACUUUACGUUCAACAAUUUUUUAAUAAAUUUUUUAAAUAAAAUAAUGGUCAAAUGCUCAACACAGAAAACUCACAAAUUCAUUUAUU